AAUUUUGUUCUCAAAGUACUGAGUAAUUAGGUUAUUUAGGAGCUGUCAGCAACACAGGAGACUGGUACCCUCUGUCCUGGACAGUCAUUUUCAUGGUCUGCUUUUCAAGUUGUACAAUAAUACAAUUUUGUAUUUUGGCUUUGUUUAUUUCAGGCCAUGGAAUCUGUCCUGCUCUUCAUGAAACACAAAGAUAAAGCUGGUGGCCAUUGGUGAGGCAAUCUGGCCACUGGUGAGUGGCACACAUGCUACAGGAGAAACAACAACACUACUGCAAGAAUGUACUUCUGGAGAUAAACGUUCCCAGGAUGCCAGUGCAUUGGUUGUACCUCAUCAAAGUCAAACUGGUUUGAUUUCACUGAGACCAGUGCAGUGCAGCAAAGAUGGAUUUGUCUCUGCG
RNAcentral lists this long non-coding RNA (397 nucleotides) under Cyanistes caeruleus (blue tit). RNAcentral's name for it is "lncRNA (ENSCCEG00000015426.1)". Lineage: Eukaryota; Metazoa; Chordata; Aves; Passeriformes; Paridae. The record is from RNAcentral.